This 199-nucleotide long non-coding RNA is filed under the name Elaeis guineensis (African oil palm). RNAcentral's name for it is "long non-coding RNA (EGUI_LNC005363)". The record is from RNAcentral. Lineage: Eukaryota; Viridiplantae; Streptophyta; Magnoliopsida; Arecales; Arecaceae.
CGAUACUCGUCCGAGCCGUGGAAGUCCUCCACCGCCCAGCUCAACGCCUCUUUAGCUGACUCCGCCUCUGCCUUCGCUAUGUCGGCGUCGGCUUGGGCGGUGGACAGGUUCUCCUCAGCCUUAGUCAGAUUUUUCAAGCUGACCCAAAGUUGUUCGCAUUCGGCCUCGAGCUCACUAAUGCAACCAUCCCGCCCACGCC